UAGGGAAUCUUCGGCAAUGGACGAAAGUCUGACCGAGCAACGCCGCGUGAGUGAAGAAGGUUUUCGGAUCGUAAAACUCUGUUGUUAGAGAAGAACAAGGACGUUAGUAACUGAACGUCCCCUGACGGUAUCUAACCAGAAAGCCACGGCUAACUACGUGCCAGCAGCCGCGGUAAUACGUAGGUGGCAAGCGUUGUCCGGAUUUAUUGGGCGUAAAGCGAGCGCAGGCGGUUUCUUAAGUCUGAUGUGAAAGCCCCCGGCUCAACCGGGGAAGGUCAUUGGAAACUGGGAGACUUGAGUGCAGAAGAGGAGAGUGGAAUUCCAUGUGUGGCGGUGAAAUGCGUAGAUAUAUGGAGGAACACCAGUGGCGAAGGCGGCUCUCUGGUCUGUAACUGACGCUGAGGCUCGAAAGCGUGGGGAGCAAACAGG
Molecule: ribosomal RNA, 429 nt
Filed under: Gemmatimonadota bacterium
Lineage: Bacteria; Pseudomonadati; Gemmatimonadota
Description: Gemmatimonadetes bacterium partial 16S ribosomal RNA
Rfam family: Bacterial small subunit ribosomal RNA
Source: RNAcentral